AAACAUGACUUUGAUCUGCGUCCUCAUCUGGACUCUCCUCUGCUGCUGCUUCACAGAGUCCAGAGGACAGAUCACAGUGACUCAGCCUGGAGCAGUGAGCUCUGCUGUGGGAGGAUCUGUGACCAUCAAGUGUAGGACCAGUCAGAAUGUUCAUGUUUACAGCAGCUACCACCAUAUAGCCUGGUACCAACAGAAAGAUGGAAAACCUCCGAAAUGUCUCAUUUAUCGUGCUAGCAGCAGAGAUUCAGGGAUUCCAGCUCGUUUUACAGGCAGUGGAUCAAACUCUGACUUCACUCUGACCAUCAGUGGAGUCCAGGCUGAAGAUGCAGCAGUUUAUUACUGUCAGAGUCAGCACUAUAUCAACAGUCAGUAUGUGUGCACACAGUGA
This is a non-coding RNA of Archocentrus centrarchus (flier cichlid), 388 nucleotides long. The record is from the annotation of a RefSeq genome assembly. NCBI's taxonomy places the organism in Eukaryota, Metazoa, Chordata, Actinopteri, Cichliformes, Cichlidae.